AACACAUGCAAGUCGAGCGAGGUACUUGUACCUAGCGGCAGACGGGUGCGUAACAUGUGGGAAUCUGCCUUUUGGUUCGGAACAACACGGGGAAACUUGUGCUAAUACCGGAUAAGUCCUCACGGAGAAAGAUUUAUCGCCGAAAGAUGAGCCCGCACUAGAUUAGCUUGUUGGUAAGGUAAAAGCUUACCAAGGCUACGAUCUAUAGCUGAUUUGAGAGGAUGAUCAGCCACACUGGGACUGAGACACGGCCCAGACUCCUACGGGAGGCAGCAGUGGGGAAUCUUGCACAAUGGAGGAAACUCUGAUGCAGCGAUGCCGCGUGAGUGAAGAAGGCCCUUGGGUUGUAAAGCUCUUUUGUCGGGAAAGAUAAUGACUGUACCCGAAGAAUAAGGUCCGGCUAACUUCGUGCCAGCAGCCGCGGUAAUACGAAGGGACCUAGCGUAAUUCGGAAUUACUGGGCGUAAAGCGCGCGUAGGCGGUUAAGUAAGUUAAUUGUGAAAGCCCAAAGCUCAACUUUGGAAUUGCAAUUAAAACUACUUAGCUAGAGUUUAUCAGAGGAAAGCGGAAUACAUAGUGUAGAGGUGAAAUUCGUAGAUAUUAUGUAGAACACCAGUUGCGAAGGCGGCUUUCUGGGAUAACACUGACGCUGAGGUGCGAAAGUAUGGGUAGCGAAGAGGAUUAGAUACCCUCGUAGUCCAUACCGUAAACGAUGAUUGUUAGAUGUUGGAAAUUUAUUUUCAGUAUCACAGCUAACGCGUUAAACAAUCCGCCUGGGGAGUACGACCGCAAGGUUAAAACUCAAAUGAAUUGACGGGGACCCGCACAAGCGGUGGAGCAUGGUGGUUUAAUUCGAAGCUACGCGCAGAACCUUACCAACACUGACAUGUCUGUCGCGAUCCAGAGAUGGAUUCUUCGGUUCGCGGAACGAAACACAGGUGCUGCAUGCUGUCGUCAGCUCGGUCCUGAGAAUGUUGAUAGGUUCCGCACGAGCGCACCCUACUUCAAGUUGCAUCAGUUAGCUGGUCACUCUAG
Molecule: ribosomal RNA, 1035 nt
Filed under: uncultured bacterium
Lineage: Bacteria
Description: bacterial SSU rRNA
Rfam family: Bacterial small subunit ribosomal RNA
Source: RNAcentral